RNAcentral lists this ribosomal RNA (317 nucleotides) under uncultured Butyrivibrio sp. RNAcentral's name for it is "partial 16S ribosomal RNA". The record is from RNAcentral. Lineage: Bacteria; Bacillati; Bacillota; Clostridia; Lachnospirales; Lachnospiraceae.
GGAGUUUGGGCCGUGUCUCAGUCCCAAUGUGGCCGUCCGCCCUCUCAGGCCGGCUACAGAUCGUCGCUUUGGUAGGCCGUUACCCUGCCAACUGGCUAAUCUGACGCGGGCCCAUCUCAUACCACCGGAGUUUUUUCACACUGAGUCAUGCGACUCUGUGCGCUUAUGCGGUAUUAACAGUCGUUUCCAGCUGUUAUCCCCCAGUAUGAGGCAGGUUGCCCACGCGUUACUCACCCUUUCGCCGGUCGCCGUCAGAGUAUUGCUACUCCACGCUGCCCCUCGACUUGCAUGUGUUAAGCCUGCCGCUAGCGUUCAUC